UCCUAAUUUCUGAUGUUCAUUCAUAUAAAAAAAGUAAAAGAGCACAUCUAAAGAACAAAAAAAAAUUCAGAAGAACUUGAUCUUGAAGAAGAAACAAAUUAUCUUUUGGAAAAGAGGAAGAAGAAGAAGAAGCCCUUUCCCAGUGGAGCUUCCACGGCACCUGCCAAAUUUUUUGAUGCUUUCACAGAAUUCAAUUGCAAUACCGUAUCUAAUGCGUUUGUUUGUUUGUUGUGUUUCAGGUAUUUCUAGAAAUUCUUUGCACAAGAGGCGCACCACUGGUGGAAAGAAGAAGGUUUGUAGUUUGGAGGAAGAAGAGAAAAUGGCCUUCUAUUUCCGUUGUGGUCAAUGAGACUAAAGGCUAUAACAAACUCUCUAACUUUCAUUGGACCUGUUGGGUGAAUUCUCAGUGUUUCUUUGAGUAUUGCUUGAAGAUAAGGAAGGUUAAACUUCUCUUGGGAAUGCUUGUCACAAAGUGUGGACAGGGUGCUGUUAAAGAUGUCAUACCCGAAGAACAUAUGAAACUUCUUACCAACAUACGCAAGAUCCAGGAACGGAAAGAGAGAAAAUGGGGUGCUAAAUCUGAGGAAACUAAAUCACAUUUCUCCAAAGCAACCAAGUCCGGGCAAAGUAUGUAGAAUCAUACAAAAAUCUUUUCAGAUUUUGAUGAAGAAAGUGGUGGGAGUGAUUUUUUAGA
Arachis ipaensis is the source of this 694-nucleotide non-coding RNA. The record is from RefSeq and is a predicted model, not a curated record. Lineage: Eukaryota; Viridiplantae; Streptophyta; Magnoliopsida; Fabales; Fabaceae.